Small nucleolar RNA from Acomys russatus (golden spiny mouse), 144 nucleotides. RefSeq annotates it as small nucleolar RNA SNORA48. The record is from RefSeq and is a predicted model, not a curated record. Lineage: Eukaryota; Metazoa; Chordata; Mammalia; Rodentia; Muridae. The transcript has a single exon.
CUCUCCUGACAAUGAGCAAAGAGACACCUUGUUUCAGAUGGUGUUCUUAUAUCAGUCAGGGGCAGAGAAGAUGGCAGUCCUUUGUUCAUCCUAGCUUGAUGCCUGGCUUGAUGGUCUAAGCUGUCUUAUGCCUAGGACUCAUAA